GUCCACGCUGUAAACGAUGUCAACUAACCGUUGGGCUUCUUUUAGGAGCUUAGUGGUGGAGCUAACGUAUUAAGUUGACCGCCUGGGGAGUACGGCCGCAAGGUUAAAACUCAAAUGAAUUGACGGGGGCCCGCACAAGCGGUGGAGCAUGUGGUUUAAUUCGAUGCAACGCGAAGAACCUUACCUACCCUUGACAUCCAGAGAAUCUGUUAGAGAUAGUAGAGUGCCUUCGGGAGCUCUGAGACAGGUGCUGCAUGGCUGUCGU
This 265-nucleotide ribosomal RNA is filed under the name uncultured bacterium. Its description in RNAcentral is "partial 16S ribosomal RNA". It matches the Rfam family "Bacterial small subunit ribosomal RNA", at positions 793 to 1055 of the family's 1533-position model. The record is from RNAcentral.